RNAcentral lists this transfer RNA (73 nucleotides) under Oedocladium carolinianum. RNAcentral describes it as "tRNA-Ala". It matches the Rfam family "tRNA". From Rfam's summary of the family: Transfer RNA (tRNA) molecules are approximately 80 nucleotides in length. Lineage: Eukaryota; Viridiplantae; Chlorophyta; Chlorophyceae; Oedogoniales; Oedogoniaceae. The record is from RNAcentral. RNAcentral also lists the same sequence under 8 other names.
GGGGGGUUAGCUCAGUUGGUAGAGCGUUGCUUUUGCACGGCAAAUGUCAUGGGUUCGAAUCCCAUAUUCUCCA